Molecule: ribosomal RNA, 494 nt
Filed under: uncultured bacterium
Lineage: Bacteria
Description: bacterial SSU rRNA
Rfam family: Bacterial small subunit ribosomal RNA
Source: RNAcentral
CCUGGCUCAGAUUGAACGCUGGCGGCAUGCCUUACACAUGCAAGUCGAACGGCAGCACGGACUUCGGUCUGGUGGCGAGUGGCGAACGGGUGAGUAAUGUAUCGGAACGUACCUUUCAGUGGGGGAUAACGUAGCGAAAGUUACGCUAAUACCGCAUAUUCUGUGAGCAGGAAAGCAGGGGAUCGCAAGACCUUGCGCUGAUUGAGCGGCCGAUAUCAGAUUAGCUAGUUGGUGGGGUAAAGGCCUACCAAGGCUACGAUCUGUAGCGGGUCUGAGAGGAUGAUCCGCCACACUGGAACUGAGACACGGUCCAGACUCCUACGGGAGGCAGCAGUGGGGAAUUUUGGACAAUGGGGGCAACCCUGAUCCAGCCAUGCCGCGUGAGUGAAGAAGGCCUUCGGGUUGUAAAGCUCUUUCGGCCGGGAAGAAAUCGCAUAGGCUAAUACCCUGUGUGGAUGACGGUACCGGAAUAAGAAGCACCGGCUAACUACGUG